This 424-nucleotide ribosomal RNA is filed under the name uncultured bacterium. RNAcentral's name for it is "bacterial SSU rRNA". It matches the Rfam family "Bacterial small subunit ribosomal RNA", at positions 352 to 782 of the family's 1533-position model. The record is from RNAcentral.
CAGUCGAGAAUCUUUCACAAUGGGCGAAAGCCUGAUGGAGCGACGCCGCGUGGAGGUUAAGGUCUUCGGAUUGUAAACUCCUGUCAUGCGAGAACAAAGCCCGCAAGGGUCUGAUAGUAUCGCAAGAGGAAGAGACGGCUAACUCUGUGCCAGCAGCCGCGGUAAUACAGAGGUCUCAAGCGUUGUUCGGAAUUACUGGGCGUAAAGGGUGCGCAGGCCGCGCGGGCAGUCAAAUGUGUAAUCCAGGGGCUCAACCCCUGAACUGCGCUUGAUACUUCCGCGCUCGAGCUUUGGAGAGGAGUCUGGAAUUCUCGGUGUAGCAGUGAAAUGCGUGGAUAUCGAGAAGAACACUUAGGGCGUAGGCAAGACUCUGGACAAAUGCUGACGCUCAUGCACGAAGGCUAGGGUAGCGAACGGGAUUAGA